Hyla sarda is the source of this 1799-nucleotide long non-coding RNA. RefSeq lists it as uncharacterized. The record is from RefSeq and is a predicted model, not a curated record. The transcript is spliced from 3 exons. NCBI's taxonomy places the organism in Eukaryota, Metazoa, Chordata, Amphibia, Anura, Hylidae.
CGAUUCCCAUACAUGUAACAGAGACGAGUCCAACAACCUGCGGUGAAACCGGCAAAUAAUUCCGAUGCCCCAUAAAGUCCAAACGAAUGGAGGAAGCAAUAAACUCUCGGAGUGGACUUGGUAGCCACCAUCAUUAGAGAGAAGAGAAUGGGCAAGUCAGACAUGGCGGCAUCACUUACGGAGCCCGCAGUACAAAGACAUCAGAGCCCAUUAUAAGAUAGAGCCGGAUGCCUGGGACAAAUCUCUUACAUAUCUAAGACAUGGCGCCUGACAGGGCGGGAGCAGAGUUUAAAGGUUUGCCAGCAGUACACACACCUGGACUUCCUUUCCUUUACAUCUCUGACCAAUAGCAAGACAAUACCUUCUCACAAGCCCUCCUCCUCUCUGCUUUGCCAUGACAUAGAGAUGCUGGAUGUCACAUAUAGACACAUGGAGGGUGUGGUUUGCACAACAUUUUUGACCUUUGUUUUUUUUUCACUGCCUGCUUUAACUUUUAAAAAGUGAGUGGGUCUUACUGAAAAGGGGGUUGGACCUCAUGUGGCCAUCUGAUUUACUGAAACUCCCAGAACUAUUAAGAACAGUGCACUUCUUCAUUAAUGCAGUUGAUCCUACUUUGUUGGGGGUUUAUAUAAGACCCAUAUACAGUCAUGGCCGUAAAUGUUGGCACCCCUUACAUAUUUCUCACAGAAAAGGAUUGCAGCAACACAUGUUUUGCUAUACACAUGUUUAUUCCCUUUGUGUGUAUUGGAACUAAACCAAAAAAGGGAGGAAAAAAGCAAAUUUGACAUAAUGUCACCAAACUCCAAAAAUGGGCUAGACAAAAUGAUUGGCACCCUUUCAAACUUGUGGAAAAAUGUGAUUGUUUCAAGUAUGUGAUGCUCCUUUUAACUCAUUUGGGGCAAGUAACAGGUGUGGGCAACAUAAAAAUCAAACCUGAAAGCAGAUAAAAAGGAGAGAAGUUCAAUUAGCCUUUGCAUUGUGUGUGUGUGCGCCACACUUAGUGUGGCAGCUCAAAGAUAGGGAUAAGAUGUCUUAGGGCCGGAAUACCCCUUUAACCUGGUUGUCUACUGAGCUAUGAUAACAACGGCACCCCCAGGAAUAGCAUUAUGUCUCCAACAGGAACUGGAUCAACUCGUACCGCCAUGGAAUCUAACCCCGAAGAGGAUCCACCACUGGUGUUUAGUUCCAUAAAGUUGUCUUUUUCACACAAUAACCUAAUGUCAGGUUAAGAAGAAAAAGUAAAAGGAUGAUACAUAAGUGCCCUACAGCGUGUCUUCCUCUUUCAGAACCAAAACACACACACACCCCAAAGACAAUAUGCCGUCAAAUAACAAUUCAAUUAAAUGGGCAAGUCAUCUAUCAUCAGGGCCCCGUGAUUAAAAUGUCGCCUGUUAUCAACACCAUCAUCCAUUAGCGGGAAGUCGGGCUGGAUAUCAAUGCGGCGUCUCAAGCAAAAUGAGGUGUGGCAAGUCUGAUUAAUCAGAUCUUAUUUACUCAAAUCUGGCAGAACGCUUCAAAACAGGAGCAAACUAGCAUGACAAGGCGCCGAGGAGAGAAAUGAGUGGCCGACCGGUGGGGAGGUGCGCUGUCAGGUGACGGAGGUGACAUUUGCAAUCCACAGGCAUCUGCUUUGGGUAUUAACCUUUUCAUAUCAAUCGGUCGCCUCUUACAUCUUUAUGUCUAGCAGGAGAUAAAAUUGAGAUGUUUUUUUGCUUUCGUUUAAACUACAGAAGAGCCGGAAGAGGAAAGGAAAUCAGUCAAACCGGCUUCAACCCUCAGGAGUCCAUAAUGGCAAGAAA